AUGAACGCUAGCGGCAGGCCUAACACAUGCAAGUCGAGGGGCAUCGGGGCGUAGCAAUACGCUGCCGGCGACCGGCGGAUGGGUGAGUAACGCGUAUGCAACCUGCCUUCAGCAGGGGGAUAGCCCGUUGAAAGACGGAUUAAUACCCCGUAACACAGGGGCUCCGCAUGGAGAUUAUUGUUAAAGGGAUACUUCCUUCGGGGGGUAUUCCGGCUGAAGAUGGGCAUGCGUUCCAUUAGGUAGUUGGUUGAGGUAACGGCUCACCAAGCCUACGAUGGAUAGGGGAACUGAGAGGUUGGUCCCCCACACUGGUACUGAGACACGGACCAGACUCCUACGGGAGGCAGCAGUGAGGAAUCUUGGUCAAUGGACGGAAGUCUGAACCAGCCAUGUCGCGUGAAGGAGGACGGCCCUAAGGGUUGUAAACUUCUUUUGCAGCGGAAUAAAGUAUUCCACGAGAUGGGAUAUUGCAAGUACGCUGCGAAUAAGGAUCGGCUAACUCCGUG
RNAcentral lists this ribosomal RNA (506 nucleotides) under uncultured bacterium. Its description in RNAcentral is "bacterial SSU rRNA". It matches the Rfam family "Bacterial small subunit ribosomal RNA", at positions 29 to 507 of the family's 1533-position model. The record is from RNAcentral.